Non-coding RNA from Rattus norvegicus (Norway rat), 2450 nucleotides. Lineage: Eukaryota; Metazoa; Chordata; Mammalia; Rodentia; Muridae. The record is from RefSeq and is a predicted model, not a curated record.
UUCUGGAGCCAUCCGCAGACGAGUUUGCUUUAGCUCCGGAAGUCUAGGCUACCUGGCAGUGCUUCCAGUGAGCUUGCUUCCCAGAGCCCUGCCUUGUCUCAAAGAGAAGAGAACGAUGACCAAGUUACAGGAGGCAGUGACGUUCAGGGACGUGGCUGUGGUCUUCAGUAAGGAGGAGAUGGGGCUGCUGGACGCUGCCCAGAGGAAGCUGUACCACGAUGUGAUGCUGGAGAACCUCAGGAACCUCCUGGCAGUGGGAGGCCAGAGUCCAAGCAAGAUAGAGACACUUCACAAAACAGGAGUAAGGUGCCUUUCACUGGGGAAGCUUUCAUGCUGGCAAAUCACAGGCCAUGAUGCCAACAAACUGGCCAGAGCUCCAGAAGACGUAAUAAACACUCAAGAACAGGGUUCUCACUUCCUGGAGCGAUGCCACAGGGGCGCAGAAGAGCCUUCUCAGGUCUCUGCGGAUGAUGACUCUGCUGAGAGUCUCACAAGCAACCAUUCCAGCAUUAGUGAAAAUCAGGAAUUUCUGUCUGGGAGAGCUCAGAGUUCUUUGAGUGAAACACAUCUCAGUGAGAGACGUGACAGUGGGAAACACUGUCCUCAGACUCCGGUGAAAACCAAGCCACAGCCGUUGGCUCUGGGUGUUGACAUUCUGAGUUUCAUUUCCCAUCAAGAUAACGAUAUACUGCAUGAAAGAGACAAAGUCCACAGCAGCGGUGACUGUGACGAAGUCAUCUGUCCCCUGUCACAACUCACCCAGGAUUGCGAUUACACAGAACGGAAGGCCUACCAGUGCAGCCAGGGCCAGAACGCCUUCAUUGACAGCUCGUUUCUGGAACUCCAUCAGCAGGUCCUCUUAGAAAUGAAGUCCUCUGGACAUACUGCACACGAGGACACCAGGCGUAGCUCCAGUGUCCCCAUUCAACAAAGCAUUCAUCCAGGGGAAAAACGCUACUGGUGUCAAGAGUGUGGCAAAGGUUUCAGUCAGAGCUCAGCUCUCCAGACUCACCGGAGAGUGCACACGGGGGAGAAGCCCUAUCAGUGCGACAGCUGUGGGAGGGGCUUCAGCCGCAACUCAGACCUCAACAUCCACCGCCGCGUGCACACCGGGGAGAACCUUCACAAGUGUGAGGUGUGUGGGAAGGGCUUCACAAAGUGGGACCACCUCCAGAUACACCAGAGAAUUCACACGGGAGAGAAGCCGUAUAAGUGUGGAGACUGUGGCAAACGCUUCAGCUGUAGCUGGAACCUUCACACCCACCAGAGGGUCCACACGGAGGAGAAACCGUACAAGUGUGACGAGUGUGGGAAGCGCUUCAGCUUGAGCUUCAACCUCCACAGCCAUCAGCGGAUCCACACGGGAGAGAAGCCGUAUAAAUGUGAAGAGUGCGGGAAGGGUUUCAGUUCAGCCUCAAGCUUCCAAAGACACCAGAGGGUCCAUACAGGAGAGAAGCCGUUUGUCUGUAAUGUGUGUGGAAAGAGCUUCAGUCAGAGUUCGAAUUUUCAAGCCCACCAGAGAGUUCACACCAGGGAGAAACCGUACAGGUGUGAUGUGUGUGGGAAGCAUUCCACCUGGAGCCUUCACAGUCACCAGAGAGUCCACACGGGAGAGAAACCGUAUAAAUGUGAGGAGUGCGGCAAAGGCUUCAGUCAUGCCUGGAGUCUGCAGGUUCAUCAGAGUCUCCACACCGGCGAGAAACCGUUCAAAUGCAAUGUGUGCCAGAAGAGGUUCAAUCAGGCCUCAAUCCUCCAGGACCACGAGAGGGUGCACACGGGGGAGAAGCCCUACAAAUGCGACACGUGUGGGAAGGCCUUCAGCCAGAGAUCCGGUCUCCAAGUCCAUCGGAGAAUUCACACUGGGGAGAUGCCGUAUAAGUGUGCGGAGUGUGGGAAAGAAUUCAGGUGGAGCUCAGGGCUUCGCUCUCACCUGAGGGUCCACACAGGAGAGGAACCCUACCCGGUCAGCAGUGUGGGAAGCGGGAGGACUUCAGUCAGGCCUCACACUUCCACACACAGAUGAGAAUCCACAUCAGAGAUCACAUCUAAUAGAGGGUCCACAAUGCAAGGAACCCCUAGUUUGUUCUGCACUCAGGUGGGCUCCAUGCUGCUGGUUGUUAAAAAGUGCCACCAAACCCAGAGGCUUCAGGAGAGGCAUUAUCUUGGUAUUUUGCCCUCAACUCAUUCUUUUACCAAGCUCACUAUGAAAAAGGAAAUAGUAUUUUAGAGUGGACCUUCUUGGGUCACAGACAAGACUAGAGACUUAUAUAGAAAAGGGUUCUGACUUAAUUAUAAGAGGAAGAAUUGUCAAUUGUCAGGAAUAAAACCAACAGAAAGCCAUCGUGACUCACACUAACGCUGAGAUUGUUCAAUUAUGGGUAACCCAUUGGCAAAGAGCUUGUAGCAACUGUAUGGGAGAAAUUAUCAAUAAACAUUCUAAGAGCAAGUGA